GGGACUGCGGAAGGAUCAUUGAAUUAUUAAAACCACACCGUGAACCUCCCCGUUUCGCGUUCCGGCUUGUCCAGCUGGGCGGUUGGCUCAUCCCCGAUCGGCUCCAGCAGCUGCAACGUGUUCAAUAUGUUGAACGCGUUGCGGUGGCGCCGGGGCGUGCUUUUUUACACCAUGUCUCACCACUCUUGAAACCAAAAUCUAAAGCAAGAACGACUGCUCGUAAUUGUGGCGGUCUUAACAAAGACAACUCUCAACAACGGAUAUCUUGGCUCUCGCAACGAUGAAGAACGCAGCGAAAUGCGAUACGUAGUGUGAAUUGCAGAAUUCCGUGAACCAUCGAAUCUUUGAACGCAUAUUGCGCUCGAGCCUUCGGGCAAGAGCAUGUCUGCCUCAGCGUCGGUUUAUACCUCUCACCCCCCUCCCGCCAACUUGGUCGGGGGUCGGAUUGACUGCUCUCAGUCGGUCUCGGGGGUGGAUCUGGCUUUCCCAGUCGGCGGCGGCUUUGUUGUCGCGGACUGGGUUGGCUGAAGCUCAGAGGCUUAACCACGGACCCGAAUGGGCUUCAACUGGAUAGGUAGCACCGGCUCUUCUGAGCCGUCUACACGAAGUUGUGGCCUGUGGACCUUGGUAGGGGCCAAGCAGGAAACGCGUCCGACCCGGCGCGUCCUAAACUUUCGACCUGAGCUCAGGCAAGGCUACCGUAAUU
This 706-nucleotide ribosomal RNA is filed under the name Scenedesmus sp. Tow6/3T-9W. Its description in RNAcentral is "eukaryotic LSU rRNA". The stretch from base 246 to 399 matches the Rfam family "5.8S ribosomal RNA". The record is from RNAcentral. Lineage: Eukaryota; Viridiplantae; Chlorophyta; Chlorophyceae; Sphaeropleales; Scenedesmaceae.